GACGAACGCUGGCGGCGUGCUUAACACAUGCAAGUCGAACGGUAAGGCCCUUCGGGGUACACGAGUGGCGAACGGGUGAGUAACACGUGGGUGAUCUGCCCUGCACUUCGGGAUAAGCCUGGGAAACUGGGUCUAAUACCGGAUAGGACCAUGGACUUCACGGUUUGUGGUGGAAAGCUUUUGCGGUGUGGGAUGGGCCCCGCGGCCUAUCAGCUUGUUGGUGGGGGUAAUGGCCCUACCAAGGCGACGACGGGUAGCCCGGCCUGAGAGGGUGUCCGGCCACACUGGGACUGAGAUACGGCCCAGACUCCUACGGGAGGCAGCAGUGGGGAAUAUUGCACAAUGGGCGCAAGCCUGAUGCAGCGACGCCGCGUGAGGGAUGACGGCCU
RNAcentral lists this ribosomal RNA (389 nucleotides) under uncultured bacterium. RNAcentral describes it as "bacterial SSU rRNA". It matches the Rfam family "Bacterial small subunit ribosomal RNA", at positions 28 to 417 of the family's 1533-position model. The record is from RNAcentral.